RNAcentral lists this transfer RNA (76 nucleotides) under Candidatus Woesearchaeota archaeon. RNAcentral describes it as "tRNA-Pro". It matches the Rfam family "tRNA". Rfam says of the family: Transfer RNA (tRNA) molecules are approximately 80 nucleotides in length. Their secondary structure includes four short double-helical elements and three loops (D, anti-codon, and T loops). The record is from RNAcentral. Lineage: Archaea; Nanobdellati; Candidatus Woesearchaeota.
GGGGCUGUGGUCUAGCUUGGAUUAUGAUACACGCUUGGGGUGCGUGUGAUCGGGGGUUCAAAUCCCCUCAGCCCCA